Molecule: ribosomal RNA, 251 nt
Filed under: uncultured Capnocytophaga sp.
Lineage: Bacteria; Pseudomonadati; Bacteroidota; Flavobacteriia; Flavobacteriales; Flavobacteriaceae
Description: partial 16S ribosomal RNA
Rfam family: Bacterial small subunit ribosomal RNA
Source: RNAcentral
ACUGAGACCGGCGUACGGGUGCGUAACGCGUAUACAAUCUGCCUUUCACUGGGGGAUAGCCCGAAGAAAUUUGGAUUAAUACCCCAUAGUAUAGGAGCACGGCAUCGUGAUACUAUUAAAGCUUAGGUGGUGAAAGAUGAGUAUGCGUUCUAUUAGCUAGUUGGAGAGGUAACGGCUCCCCAAGGCGAUGAUAGAUAGGGGUUCUGAGAGGGAUGUCCCCCACACUGGUACUGAGAUACGGACCAGACUCC